This is a small nucleolar RNA of Molossus molossus (Pallas's mastiff bat), 74 nucleotides long. RefSeq annotates it as small nucleolar RNA U2-19. The transcript has a single exon. Lineage: Eukaryota; Metazoa; Chordata; Mammalia; Chiroptera; Molossidae. The record is from RefSeq and is a predicted model, not a curated record.
GGACAGUGAUGAAAAUAGCCAAAUCUACAUCAGAAGACCUUCUAGUCUACAAAGCAUGAUCUCUAGUUCUGAGA